This 67-nucleotide transfer RNA is filed under the name Tiracola aureata. Its description in RNAcentral is "tRNA-Ala". Lineage: Eukaryota; Metazoa; Arthropoda; Insecta; Lepidoptera; Noctuidae. The record is from RNAcentral.
AGGAUUAUAGUUUAAAUUAAAACUUUUGAUUUGCAGUCAAAUAAUAUUAUAUUAAUAAUUUAUCUUA